Molecule: ribosomal RNA, 250 nt
Filed under: uncultured bacterium
Lineage: Bacteria
Description: partial 16S ribosomal RNA
Rfam family: Bacterial small subunit ribosomal RNA
Source: RNAcentral
UACGAAGGGGGCUAGCGUUGUUCGGAUUUACUGGGCGUAAAGCGCGUGUAGGCGGACCGUUAAGUCGGGGGUGAAAGCCCAGAGCUCAACUCUGGAACUGCCUUCGAUACUGGCGAUCUAGAGCAUGUCAGAGGCGAGUGGAAUUGCGAGUGUAGAGGUGAAAUUCGUAGAUAUUCGCAGGAACACCAGUGGCGAAGGCGACUCGCUGGGACAUUGCUGACGCUGAGACGCGAAAGCGUGGGGAGCAAAC